UACGGAGGGGGCUAGCGUUGCUCGGAAUCACUGGGCGUAAAGCGCACGUAGGCGGCUUCUUAAGUCAGGGGUGAAAUCCUGGAGCUCAACUCCAGAACUGCCUUUGAUACUGAGGAUCUUGAGUUCGGGAGAGGUGAGUGGAACUGCGAGUGUAGAGGUGAAAUUCGUAGAUAUUCGCAAGAACACCAGUGGCGAAGGCGGCUCACUGGCCCGAUACUGACGCUGAGGCACGAAAGCGUGGGGAGCAAACAGG
This 253-nucleotide ribosomal RNA is filed under the name uncultured bacterium. RNAcentral describes it as "partial 16S ribosomal RNA". It matches the Rfam family "Bacterial small subunit ribosomal RNA", at positions 524 to 776 of the family's 1533-position model. The record is from RNAcentral.